GAUGAACGCUAGCGGCAGGCCUAAUACAUGCAAGCCGAACGGCAGGGUUUUCAGCAAUGGGAACCCUAGAGUGGCGUAAGGGUGCGUAACACGUAUGCAAUCUACCCUUAACAGGCGGAUAGGGUCCCCGAAAGGGGAAUUAAGCCGCCAUAGGAAUUUGGAUGGCAUCAUUUGAAAUUUAAAACUACGGUGGUUAAGGAUGAGCAUGCGCAUGAUUAGUUAGUUGGCGAGGUAACGGCCCACCAAGACUUUGAUCAUUAGGGGAACUGAGAGGUU
RNAcentral lists this ribosomal RNA (276 nucleotides) under uncultured bacterium. Its description in RNAcentral is "partial 16S ribosomal RNA". It matches the Rfam family "Bacterial small subunit ribosomal RNA", at positions 28 to 301 of the family's 1533-position model. The record is from RNAcentral.